This 253-nucleotide ribosomal RNA is filed under the name uncultured bacterium. Its description in RNAcentral is "partial 16S ribosomal RNA". It matches the Rfam family "Bacterial small subunit ribosomal RNA", at positions 524 to 776 of the family's 1533-position model. The record is from RNAcentral.
UACAGAGGGUGCAAGCGUUGUUCGGAAUUACUGGGCGUAAAGUGUGCGCAGGCGGCCGAGCAAGUCGAGUGUGAAAUCCCCGGGCUUAACUUGGGAAUUGCGCUCGAAACUACUUGGCUGGAGUGUGGCAGAGGGGGGUGGAAUUCCACGUGUAGCGGUGAAAUGCGUAGAGAUGUGGAGGAACACCAAUGGCGAAGGCAGCCCCCUGGGCCAACACUGACGCUCAUGCACGAAAGCGUGGGGAGCAAACAGG